Molecule: long non-coding RNA, 187 nt
Organism: Rosa chinensis
Lineage: Eukaryota; Viridiplantae; Streptophyta; Magnoliopsida; Rosales; Rosaceae
Exons: 3
Source: RefSeq, a predicted model, not a curated record
GUGAUAUCGAAGAGCCUCAUAGUGCACAAAUGUCUAGGAUAAUGGAGAAGAUUGGUGAGCUUCAGCGCAAUAUCACAAGAUCCUAUAGUGCACAAUUUGAUAGCUUAAUGGAGAAGAUUGGUGAGCUUCAGCAAGGGGACUAUAGAUGAGAUGUUUCAGAGAAACUUGAUGUUUAUGCCCGUGCAAA